ACGAACGCUGGCGGCGUGCUUCAUGCAUGCAAGUCGUACGCGGGCGACUCGCCGGGCAACCGGUGGGUCGGGCCGAGUGGCGAACGGGUGAGUAACACGUGGGUAACCUGCCCGGUUGCCCGGGAUACCGUCUCGAAAGAGGCGUUAAUACCGGAUGUUGUCCCCUGACCGCAGGGAUGGGGGAUGAAAGCUGGCCUGCAAGGGCUGGCGUGACUGGAGGGGCCCGCGGCCCAUUAGCUAGUUGGUGAGGUAACGGCCCACCAAGGCGACGAUGGGUAGCCGGCCUGAGAGGGUGGUCGGCCACACUGGGACUGAGACACGGCCCAGACUCCUACGGGAGGCAGCAGCAGGGAGUUUUGCGCAAUGGGCGACAGCCUGACGCAGCAACGCCGCGUGGGUGAGGAAGGCCUUCGGGUUGUAAAGCCCUGUCGGAGGGGACGAGGCUUGGCCGGGUAAAUAGCCCGGGCAGGUGACGGUACCUUCGGAGGAAGCCCCGGCUAACUACGUGCCAGCAGCCGCGGUGAGACGUAGGGGGCGAGCGUUGUCCGGAAUGACUGGGCGUAAAGGGCGAGUAGGCGGUUCGGUAAGUGGUGGGUGAAAUCCCCGGGCUCAACCCGGGUGGUGCCUGCCAAACUGCCGGACUUGAGGGCAGGAGAGGAGAGCGGAAUUCCCGGUGUAGCGGUAAAAUGCGUAGAUAUCGGGAGGAACACCAGUGGCGAAGGCGGCUCUCUGGCCUGUCCCUGACGCUGAGGCGCGAAAGCUAGGGGAGCAAACGGGAUUAGAUACCCCGGUAGUCCUAGCUGUAAACGAUGGGCACUAGGUGUGGGAGGUAUCGACCCCUUCCGUGCCGCAGUAACACAAUAAGCACUCCCGCC
This 875-nucleotide ribosomal RNA is filed under the name uncultured bacterium. Its description in RNAcentral is "bacterial SSU rRNA". It matches the Rfam family "Bacterial small subunit ribosomal RNA", at positions 29 to 873 of the family's 1533-position model. The record is from RNAcentral.